This 1087-nucleotide non-coding RNA is filed under the name Pongo abelii (Sumatran orangutan). The record is from RNAcentral. Lineage: Eukaryota; Metazoa; Chordata; Mammalia; Primates; Hominidae.
CAACACAGCUAUAGCAGGACCUCUUGACUCACUGAAGGCAGCUCCAGAUACUGGCUUCUCCUCUCUUCCUGUACAUUAUCUUCAUUCUUCUAUCUAUAGACUACCUUUAUCUUCUAAGUGAAAACAUGACUGUCAGCAGCUUUCAAGCUUUAUCAUUUACAGAGCUUGCCUGAAGACAGACUGAUUCCAUUCUCUAGGUCUCCAAGCUCAAAAAGCUCAGAGAAAGACUUCGAUUGGUCUGAAUUAGGCCAGCUGUCCACCCCUGAACUAUCCAAAGCAGCCCUGCAGCUGGGCCGUUCCCAGAGAGAGGGAUGGAUAAAGGCACUCACUCUACACAAGGAACAGUUUCCUUCCUUAAUAAAGAAGUAGUUUCACUUAAAAAAAAAAAAUCUCUAAACAGUGACUAAAACGCUAAAAUGAAGUGAGCAACCAGGGGUAAAGAAGUACUAAUAAUUUCAAAGGCAGACACAAAUAUGAUUUGGAGAAGAAACAGCAGUGACAGAUAAAUUAUCAAUAAACGUAACACAUUGAUAGAGAGCUUUAAUGAAGAGCCAAUAAGCACAUGAACUGGAUACUUUGUGUAUGAAACCCUCAAUGAAUACUGUGAAAGUUGUCAGGAUAAAAAUAGAGUCACUUGUGACAAAAUGGAGCUGGGAAAGGCCAUGAAGGAAGGGUUCUUAAUGCUCAAUCGCCUGAAAACAAGAACCGUUACAAAAGACUAUACCAAAACCACAACCUUGUAUAAAGGCCACUGCAACCUUAUGCAAAAAAAAUACUUCUGCAAGGACAUCUGCCCAGCAGCUGCCUGUCUAACCUUGGACUGAUGCCACCCUUAUUAUUGAUCCCUGUAAGCAAGGAUAAUUGUUUCAAAACAACUUAUGUAACCCUCCCCAUUUUAGCUUUAAAAAUCGCUGUCUUCCCUUGCCUCUUUGAAUGUGCCCAUAGUUUACUCGGCAUGUGUGUUCCACACUACAGUGCUUACUCUUGAAUACACUUAUUAUCUUUGGGGAAUCUCUCUCUCUUAUUUAGCUUGACAGUAUAUUAACUGAAAAUUUAAACUUGUUACUGAAUAAAGUCAUUAAAAUGA